UCAAACCAGUCUUCAGAUCUCAUAUUCUUGAUUAUAAGCAUGAGUCACUAGUGCACAGCAAGUUUUAUUUUAUAAUCCUUGCUCUGCUUUAAAAGAAAAUGAGCUGUUACAAUUCUCAAAUAACUUUUUCCAAGGACAAUAACAAAAAUGUAUUUUUCCUAAGUUGACUAAAAGAUGGCUAAAAACAGUGUAGAUUAAAAACAGAUUUGGAAAUUCUAAAUAAUGCCCAAUGUAUAAUGGGGUGGUUAGUUAUACACUAUAGUAUCUGGGAAAAAGACACACAUAAUUUGAUUUCAAAACCAUCAUGUUCAAUUCCAAAUAUAAAAUUUUGUAAUCUUUGUGAGUCUGUAAACAGAGAGAAAUACACAAACGCAAAAAAGUAUCCAACAUAAAAUUCAAAUUAAAAAGUAACUGCAAAGCCAAAUUCAGAAGUAAGUUAAACACAAUAUUACCAAGUUAAUUCUCAAACUAGCUAGUUUGGUUUCCAAAGGUAAACAUCUAUUAAUUUCAGGAAAAAGAGCCUGUUAAAAAAAACUCAGACAGUCACAUGAGUCUCCCUUUCUUAGCCACAGAAAAAAGAACUACGAGAAAGGCUGAAGUAGCAAAUUUUAGAGUUAGGCCAAGCCACACUUAGCAUACACAACUUCUUUUCUAGUUAAGUAGGGUUUCAUUCCCAGACUAGUCUGCAGCUCAAGAUCCUCUAGCCUCCUAUGUGCUGUGAUGGGCCCAGGCCCCUCUAGACAUAAAAAGUUGAAAUGGUAAUUGAAAAACAGCAAAAGCAAAAGCAAAAGGGGAGGUAGGCAUGGUUCAAGUGGUAGAGAGCCUGGCUGUAAACACAAGGCCCUGAGUUGUCUGUUUUUUAAAUCAUUGCUUAAGGUUCAAGCAGGUAUAAACCAGAAUUAUAUCUGAGGAAAACUUUUACUGUAAUUAUGAGUUCCUGAGCCACUAAAAUGACUUGUUUUUCCUUUCUGAAUACAUUUGGAGAUGGGUAACAGAUGUAUUGCUUCAAAAUCUUCAAAUAUUUCUACUUUACCAAGAACUUCUACCACAACACAGUAAGUAUGAAAUGUGUGAGUAAGCCAAGUUAAAUAUUUCAUGAACUUAAACUUAAAAUUUGGCUUUGCCAGUCUAUAAAAGUCCUUUAGAACAAUAAAAGACCCAAAUAUUUUCAUCUUCCUCAACAUUCCUUCUCUUCAGUUUUUUCUUAGAUUUUUCUUUUUAGUCACAUCUUUAAACACAUAGUUUCUGGAAAUAACAUAUCACUACACCAGAAUCCAACUUAAUACACAUUCAAUUCCAUGUACAAAUUAUGUUUUACAAUCUCUUACUAUACAACUUAAGUAAUGUUUCCAUCUCUUCUGUUUUAUUUAUUUGCAGUACCAGGAUUUGGAACUCAAGGCUUCUACCCACACCCCUAACACUUUCUACUUUAGUUACUUUUCAAGUAAGAUCUCAACUUUAUUUUAUUUAUUUAUUUAUUUUAUCAUGGAUGAUCUGGACCACAACCCUCCUUAAGCCUCUCAAUUAGCUGGCAUGACAAGCAAGAACCACCAUGUCCAGUUUUUCUGUUGACAUUUUGUUUGCCUAGGCUAGCCUUGAACUUGGAUCCUCCUGAUGGCUUGCUCUUGAGUAGCUCGGAUUUCACUGGUAGAGUGAAGGGAUUACACUAAUGUUGCUACAGUCUGAACAUCUGAAUAACUCACUAUGGGUCAAAAUAAAUACAAAAUACUUAAGAACUGGGCUGGGAAUAUGGCCUAGUGGCAAGAGUGCUUGCCUCCUACAC
Molecule: long non-coding RNA, 1783 nt
Organism: Perognathus longimembris pacificus (Pacific pocket mouse)
Lineage: Eukaryota; Metazoa; Chordata; Mammalia; Rodentia; Heteromyidae
Exons: 3
Source: RefSeq, a predicted model, not a curated record